UGGGGAAUAUUGCACAAUGGGCGCAAGCCUGAUGCAGCAACGCCGCGUGAGGGAUGACGGCCUUCGGGUUGUAAACCUCUUUUAGUAGGGAAGAAGCGAAAGUGACGGUACCUGCAGAAAAAAGCACCGGCUAACUACGUGCCAGCAGCCGCGGUAAUACGUAGGGUGCGAGCGUUGUCCGGAAUUAUUGGGCGUAAAGAGCUCGUAGGCGGUCUGUCGCGUCUGCUGUGAAAACCCGAGGCUCAACCUCGGGCCUGCAGUGGGUACGGGCAGACUAGAGUGCGGUAGGGGAGAAUGGAAUUCCUGGUGUAGCGGUGGAAUGCGCAGAUAUCAGGAGGAACACCGAUGGCGAAGGCAGUUCUCUGGGCCGUAACUGACGCUGAGGAACGAAAGCGUGGGGAGCGAACAGGAUUAGAUGACCCUGGUAGUCCACGCCGUAAACGUUGGGCGCUAGAUGUGGGGACCAUUCCACGGUUUCCGUGUCGCAGCUAACGCAUU
This 498-nucleotide ribosomal RNA is filed under the name uncultured bacterium. RNAcentral's name for it is "partial 16S ribosomal RNA". It matches the Rfam family "Bacterial small subunit ribosomal RNA", at positions 355 to 861 of the family's 1533-position model. The record is from RNAcentral.